GCCAUAUCACGUUGAAACACCGUUCUCUUAUAAUCACUGAAGUUAAGCAAUGUUGAGCCAGGUCAGUAGAUGGGUAACCGCUUGGAAAUACCAGGUGCUGUAAG
Acanthosepion pharaonis is the source of this 104-nucleotide non-coding RNA. NCBI's taxonomy places the organism in Eukaryota, Metazoa, Mollusca, Cephalopoda, Sepiida, Sepiidae. The record is from the annotation of a GenBank genome assembly.